Molecule: long non-coding RNA, 1019 nt
Filed under: Sorghum bicolor (sorghum)
Lineage: Eukaryota; Viridiplantae; Streptophyta; Magnoliopsida; Poales; Poaceae
Description: long non-coding RNA (SBIC_LNC009341)
Source: RNAcentral
GCACAUGCAUGGAACAUUAAAUAUAGAUAAAAAAGAUAACUAAUUGCACAGUUUAUCUGUAAAUCACGACACGAAUCUUUUAAGUCUAGUUGCUCCAUGAUUGGACAAUGUUUGUCAAAUAAAACGAAAAUACUAUAGUGUCAAAAUCCAAAAAGCUUUUGGAUCUAAACAAGGCCUUAGGAGACUGAUGGGGAGAGGCUCUUGUGAAGAAGAAAUUCAGAAUCAUACUGAACUCAAACUUGGCAAGAAUCGGAGCCUUUGCACAAUUAAAAGCCUCGUGCAUGUAUUAGGAGAUAUUGACCGGUGCGGGUGCCUGCGAUCUCACGUUGACCUCUGCGUGUUGCUUUGAACAACAAGAAACGAUAGCUGUGGCGGAGGACAAGCAAAAAGGCGCUUCUGCACUGGUAGACAGUUUAGAUUUAGGAGUAGGAGCCGAAGGUAAUGAAUUGGACUAUGUGGGCUUUUUCAAUUAUCUUUUUUUUUAAUUAAUUACUUAACUGGGCUGGUGGUGGUUGCUUUACGCGGGAUUGAUGCAGUGUGGCGGGCCUUUGUGGGCUUCACGUGGCAAUUGGGCUGUGGAUCGCGCAGGCUGUCCAUGCAGGCCUGCGCGGUGUGGCCUUCGAGCACCAGAAGCUUCGUGUGGGGCCUUGUUCAGUUUCAAAAUUUUUUAUAUUUAGGUACGGUAGUAUUUUUAUUUUUAUUUAAUAAUCAUUAUUUAAUUAUGAAUUAAUUAGAUUUAAAAAAUUCAUCUCGUGAUUUACAAGUAAAAUGUGUAAUUAAUUUUUGUUUUCGUUUAUAUUUAAUAUUUUAUAUACGUGUCGCAAAAUUCGAUGUUAUAAGAAAUCUUGAAAAUUUUUUAAUUUUUUGGGUGAACUAAAGAAAGCCUGAGUUGAUGUAGGGCUCGUUCGGUUAUCAUGGAUUUGCUAACAAUUCCUAGCCGGAUUGUUGUGUAAUUUAUAUAAGCUUUAAUCAUCUGAAAUGAUUCCUGGGGAUAUCCAGACUAACCGAAAAGGACGGCC